RNAcentral lists this ribosomal RNA (253 nucleotides) under uncultured bacterium. Its description in RNAcentral is "partial 16S ribosomal RNA". It matches the Rfam family "Bacterial small subunit ribosomal RNA", at positions 524 to 776 of the family's 1533-position model. The record is from RNAcentral.
UACGGGGGGGGUAAGCGUUGUUCGGAAUUACUGGGCGUAAAGGGCUCGUAGGCGGCCAACUAAGUCAGACGUGAAAUCCCUCGGCUUAACCGGGGAACUGCGUCUGAUACUGGAUGGCUAGAGGUUGGGAGAGGGAUGCGGAAUUCCAGGUGUAGCGGUGAAAUGCGUAGAUAUCUGGAGGAACACCGGUGGCGAAGGCGGCAUCCUGGACCAAUUCUGACGCUGAGGAGCGAAAGCCAGGGGAGCAAACGGG